This 543-nucleotide ribosomal RNA is filed under the name uncultured bacterium. Its description in RNAcentral is "bacterial SSU rRNA". It matches the Rfam family "Bacterial small subunit ribosomal RNA", at positions 108 to 668 of the family's 1533-position model. The record is from RNAcentral.
GAGUAACACGUGAGCAAUCUGCCUUUCAGAGGGGGAUACCGAUUGGAAACGAUCGUUAAUACCGCAUAAUAUAAUUGAACCGCAUGAUUUGAUUAUCAAAGAUUUAUCGCUGGAAGAUGAGCUCGCGUCUGAUUAGCUAGUUGGUAAGGUAACGGCUUACCAAGGCGACGAUCAGUAGCCGGACUGAGAGGUUGAUCGGCCACAUUGGGACUGAGACACGGCCCAGACCCCUACGGGAGGCAGCAGUGGGGAAUAUUGCACAAUGGAGGAAACUCUGAUGCAGCGAUGCCGCGUGAGGGAAGAAGGUUUUAGGAUUGUAAACCUCUGUCUUCAGGGACGAAAAAAGACGGUACCUGAGGAGGAAGCUCCGGCUAACUACGUGCCAGCAGCCGCGGUAAUACGUAGGGAGCGAGCGUUGUCCGGAAUUACUGGGUGUAAAGGGAGCGUAGGCGGGAUCGCAAGUCAGAUGUGAAAACUAUGGGCUUAACCCAUAAACUGCAUUUGAAACUGUGGUUCUUGAGUGAAGUAGAGGUAAGCGGAAUU